UGAUCCAUGGCCAGCUCUCCGUGGUCGGAGGUGAACAGAACAAUAGUCUUCUGAAGAAGACUUAACUGGUGGAGAGUCAAAAUAAUCUCACCUACCAAAAAAGAGGAACAAGCUAUUGAACUGGAAAAGGCUACUGUUUGGAAGCUGCUUUAAUUUUUAGCUGGCCUUGAACCAAGCUGAACAUAGGAAUUCUGUUCCAGCUGCAGAUGAAGAAGCUAAGGCUCUGGGAGAGGAACUGGCCCUAUGGCACACAGAUAAUUGGACUUGAAUCUGGAUCUUCUGACUCCAAGGUCAGCAGUCUUUCUAUUAUGUUGCCUCUGCUUGAGCCGUGAGAACACAAAACACAUAUAUACACAUCCAAUGGAAGGUAAUAUAUUGAGGUUAAAAAGACAAGUAUGUUCAUUUUUGCAAAGCUAACUCUUUAGUUAUUAUAUCCUCUUAUGACAAGGCUUUGACUUAAUUAGAAUAUUAAUUUUUCAUAUUUCUUCUUACCUUGGAUGAAAGGAAUAAAAGAACAGAAUUCUAAAUAAAACAUGUGGAAGUUAAUCUCAGUUUUUGAAGGUAUACUUACUC
Monodelphis domestica (gray short-tailed opossum) is the source of this 573-nucleotide long non-coding RNA. RefSeq lists it as uncharacterized. The record is from RefSeq and is a predicted model, not a curated record. NCBI's taxonomy places the organism in Eukaryota, Metazoa, Chordata, Mammalia, Didelphimorphia, Didelphidae.